Molecule: long non-coding RNA, 367 nt
Filed under: Taeniopygia guttata (zebra finch)
Lineage: Eukaryota; Metazoa; Chordata; Aves; Passeriformes; Estrildidae
Description: lncRNA (ENSTGUG00000021586.1)
Source: RNAcentral
CAAUCUCCUCCUCCUUUCCUGUGCUGUUUCACGGACAGGCUUGCUCACAGCUGGAGGCGGGGGACAAGCUUCACCAGCAGCAUGAGCACGAAUGAGGAGAAGGGAAGUUUCCUGCUCUUCACAUUACAAGAAAAGCCUCUUCGUAUAAACUCUGCUAACAGAUGGCUUGUAAAGUACUGUGUCACAUGUUCUUAGUAACAGAGUGGGCUCUUCCACACCCAUUAUUUAAAGCUGCUGGGGCAGUCCUUUGACACCAGCUUAGUUGUAAAAUUCCUACAGUUUCACUCCCUGGCUAGUGUAGAGCUAUAUUUAGUUUGCCUGGUGCUGGGGAAAAGUUGAACUGCCUCUGUAUUUCCAUUUGGCUGCU